GUGAGGAAUAUUGCACAAUGGGAGCAAUCCUGAUGCAGCGACGCCGCGUGCGGGAUGAAGGGGCUUAGCCUCGUAAACCGCUGUCGGAGGGGACGAAUGGUACAUUUGAUGUACUGAGACGGUACCCUCAAAGGAAGGAUCGGCUAACUACGUGCCAGCAGCCGCGGUAAUACGUAGGAUCCGAGCGUUGUCCGGAAUUACUGGGUGUAAAGGGUGCGUAGGCGGACUUGUGCGUCAGAGGUGAAAUCCACGGGCUUAACCCGUGGGGUGCCUUUGAUACGGCAAGUCUUGAGUGCGAGAGAGGUGGGUGGAAUUCCUGGUGUAGCAGUGAAAUGCGUAGAUAUCAGGAGGAACACCGAUGGCGAAGGCAGCCCACCGGCUCGCAACUGACGCUGAGGCACGAAAGCGUGGGGAUCAAACAGGAUUAGAUACCCCAGUAGUCC
Molecule: ribosomal RNA, 443 nt
Filed under: uncultured bacterium
Lineage: Bacteria
Description: bacterial SSU rRNA
Rfam family: Bacterial small subunit ribosomal RNA
Source: RNAcentral